This 465-nucleotide ribosomal RNA is filed under the name Vreelandella stevensii. RNAcentral's name for it is "partial 16S ribosomal RNA". It matches the Rfam family "Bacterial small subunit ribosomal RNA", at positions 338 to 795 of the family's 1533-position model. Lineage: Bacteria; Pseudomonadati; Pseudomonadota; Gammaproteobacteria; Oceanospirillales; Halomonadaceae. The record is from RNAcentral.
CCUACGGGAGGCAGCAGUGGGGAAUAUUGGACAAUGGGGGGAACCCUGAUCCAGCCAUGCCGCGUGUGUGAAGAAGGCCCUCGGGUUGUAAAGCACUUUCAGUGAGGAAGAACGCCUGGUGGUUAAUACCCAUCAGGAAAGACAUCACUCACAGAAGAAGCACCGGCUAACUCCGUGCCAGCAGCCGCGGUAAUACGGAGGGUGCGAGCGUUAAUCGGAAUUACUGGGCGUAAAGCGCGCGUAGGUGGCUUGAUAAGCCGGUUGUGAAAGCCCCGGGCUCAACCUGGGAACGGCAUCCGGAACUGUCAAGCUAGAGUGCAGGAGAGGAAGGUAGAAUUCCCGGUGUAGCGGUGAAAUGCGUAGAGAUCGGGAGGAAUACCAGUGGCGAAGGCGGCCUUCUGGACUGACACUGACACUGAGGUGCGAAAGCGUGGGUAGCAAACAGGAUUAGAUACACCUGUAGUC